UAGGCGUGGAAGUUCUUGGUUACUUUCGUUGAUGUUCUUGGCCUUCGGUCUUUUACUCUUGAUGAGUUUCUUCAAGCUUUUCAUGAUCAUGACUCAAGGUUAUUGGGUGAAGUACACAUGGCUGUUCUGAAAUCUGUCAUAAAGGAUAUUGAGGAUGUUGCUAGAACCUCCUCUACAGGUCUGGAGGUGGCUAUCUGCGAAUAGUGGAAGGGGUGAGGCUCCUUGGUUGUUAUUACUGCUCUUAAAGUUUAUUCAUGUUUCUAAUCUGGUUCUUUGUUCACCAUCAAGUUACGUUGUUGGCACUCUAUUUCAGUCAUAAGCUUGGGGUUUUGACCUAUGCAGCUGGUAGCAACAUUUAAAUCCUUUAACAUGGCCUAAGUUUACUUAGACUGUUAGCCUUAUCAGGAGGGUUUUGGUCCUCAAUAGGGGAACGGGAGAAUGCUGAACCAAGCAUAUCAUCAUGAUGAAAAUGAGGUGAAAUUCUUUUGCCCAGCUUUAAAGAAUGUGGAAGCUAACUGACUAUAUAUUUUUAAGUUUUCAUCAAGAUUUUCUUCCUUGAUUUCUAUUUUCGAUGUUUUUGGCUGAAA
This is a non-coding RNA of Cucurbita pepo subsp. pepo (vegetable marrow), 587 nucleotides long. The record is from RefSeq and is a predicted model, not a curated record. Lineage: Eukaryota; Viridiplantae; Streptophyta; Magnoliopsida; Cucurbitales; Cucurbitaceae.